GAUGAACGCUGGCGGCGUGCCUAAUACAUGCAAGUCGAGCGAACGGACGAGAAGCUUGCUUCUCUGAUGUUAGCGGCGGACGGGUGAGUAACACGUGGAUAACCUACCUAUAAGACUGGGAUAACUUCGGGAAACCGGAGCUAAUACCGGAUGAUAUUUUGAACCGCAUGGUUCAAAAGUGAAAGACGGUCGUGCUGUCACUUAUAGAUGGAUCCGCGCUGCAUUAGCUAGUUGGUAAGGUAACGGCUUACCAAGGCAACGAUGCAUAGCCGACCUGAGAGGGUGAUCGGCCACACUGGAACUGAGACACGGUCCAGACUCCUACGGGAGGCAGCAGUAGGGAAUCUUCCGCAAUGGGCGAAAGCCUGACGGAGCAACGCCGCGUGAGUGAUGAAGGUCUUCGGAUCGUAAAACUCUGUUAUUAGGGAAGAACAUAUGUGUAAGUAACUGUGCACAUCUUGACGGUACCUAAUCAGAAAGCCACGGCUAACUACGUG
RNAcentral lists this ribosomal RNA (497 nucleotides) under uncultured bacterium. RNAcentral's name for it is "partial 16S ribosomal RNA". It matches the Rfam family "Bacterial small subunit ribosomal RNA", at positions 28 to 507 of the family's 1533-position model. The record is from RNAcentral.